CCUACGGGAGGCAGCAGUAGGGAAUCUUCCACAAUGGACGAAAGUCUGAUGGAGCAACGCCGCGUGAGUGAAGAAGGGUUUCGGCUCGUAAAGCUCUGUUGGUAGGGAAGAAAGUUAGAGGUAGUAACUGGCCUUUAUUUGCUGGUAAUUAGUUAGAAAGUCCCGGGUAACUACGUGCCAGCAGCCGCGGUAAUACGUAGGUGGGAAGCGUUGUCCGGAUUUAUUGGGCGGAAAGCGAGUGCAGGCGGUGCAAUAAGUCUGAUGUGAAAGGUUUCGGCUCAACCGGAGAAUUGCAUCAGAAACUGUUGAACUUGAGUGCAGAAGAGGAGAGUGGAACUCCAAGUGUAGCGGUGGAAUGCGUAGAUAUAUGGAAGAACACCAGUGGCGAAGGCGGCUCUCUGGUCUGCAACUGACGCUGAGGCUCGAAAGCAUGGGUAGCGAACAGGAUUAGAUACCCUUGUAGUC
Molecule: ribosomal RNA, 465 nt
Filed under: uncultured bacterium
Lineage: Bacteria
Description: partial 16S ribosomal RNA
Rfam family: Bacterial small subunit ribosomal RNA
Source: RNAcentral